ACGAGUGGCGGACGGGUGAGUAAUGUCUGGGAAACUGCCUGAUGGAGGGGGAUAACUACUGGAAACGGUAGCUAAUACCGCAUAACGUCGCAAGACCAAAGAGGGGGACCUUCGGGCCUCUUGCCAUCAGAUGUGCCCAGAUGGGAUUAGCUAGUAGGUGGGGUAACGGCUCACCUAGGCGACGAUCCCUAGCUGGUCUGAGAGGAUGACCAGCCACACUGGAACUGAGACACGGUCCAGACUCCUACGGGAGGCAGCAGUGGGGAAUAUUGCACAAUGGGCGCAAGCCUGAUGCAGCCAUGCCGCGUGUAUGAAGAAGGCCUUCGGGUUGUAAAGUACUUUCAGCGGGGAGGAAGGCGUUGUGGUUAAUAACCACAGCGAUUGACGUUACCCGCAGAAGAAGCACCGGCUAACUCCGUGCCAGCAGCCGCGGUAAUACGGAGGGUGCAAGCGUUAAUCGGAAUUACUGGGCGUAAAGCGCACGCAGGCGGUCUGUCAAGUCGGAUGUGAAAUCCCCGGGCUCAACCUGGGAACUGCAUUCGAAACUGGCAGGCUAGAGUCUUGUAGAGGGGGGUAGAAUUCCAGGUGUAGCGGUGAAAUGCGUAGAGAUCUGGAGGAAUACCGGUGGCGAAGGCGGGCCCCCUGGACAAAGACUGACGCUCAGUGCGAAAGCGUGGGGAGCAACAGGAUUAGAUACCCUGGUUAGUCCACGCCGUAAACGAUGUCGACUUGGAGGUUGUGCCCUUGAGGCGUGGCUUCCGGAGCUAACGCGUUAAGUCGACCGCCUGGGGAGUACGGCCGCAAGGUUAAAACUCAAAUGAAUUGACGGGGGCCCGCACAAGCGGUGGAGCAUGUGGUUUAAUUCGAUGCAACGCGAAGAACCUUACCUACUCUUGACAUCCAGAGAACUUUCCAGAGAUGGAUUGGUGCCUUCGGGAACUCUGAGACAGGUGCUGCAUGGCUGUCGUCAGCUCGUGUUGUGAAAUGUUGGGUUAAGUCCCGCAACGAGCGCAACCCUUAUCCUUUGUUGCCAGCGGUCCGGCCGGGAACUCAAAGGAGACUGCCAGUGAUAAACUGGAGGAAGGUGGGGAUGACGUCAAGUCAUCAUGGCCCUUACGAGUAGGGCUACACACGUGCUACAAUGGCGCAUACAAAGAGAAGCGACCUCGCGAGAGCAAGCGGACCUCAUAAAGUGCGUCGUAGUCCGGAUUGGAGUCUGCAACUCGACUCCAUGAAGUCGGAAUCGCUAGUAAUCGUAGAUCAGAAUGCUACGGUGAAUACGUUCCCGGGCCUUGUACACACCGCCCGUC
This 1310-nucleotide ribosomal RNA is filed under the name Enterobacter ludwigii. Its description in RNAcentral is "bacterial SSU rRNA". It matches the Rfam family "Bacterial small subunit ribosomal RNA", at positions 91 to 1398 of the family's 1533-position model. The record is from RNAcentral. Lineage: Bacteria; Pseudomonadati; Pseudomonadota; Gammaproteobacteria; Enterobacterales; Enterobacteriaceae.